Ictidomys tridecemlineatus (thirteen-lined ground squirrel) is the source of this 69-nucleotide non-coding RNA. NCBI's taxonomy places the organism in Eukaryota, Metazoa, Chordata, Mammalia, Rodentia, Sciuridae. The record is from Rfam.
AGUGUUGUGACUCAUUGGUAGAGUGCUCCCCUACCACGGGUGAGGCCCUAGGUUCAAUCCUCAACACCA